This 216-nucleotide ribosomal RNA is filed under the name Glomeromycotina sp. Its description in RNAcentral is "partial small subunit ribosomal RNA". The stretch from base 40 to 216 matches the Rfam family "Eukaryotic small subunit ribosomal RNA", at positions 686 to 864 of the family's 1831-position model. Lineage: Eukaryota; Fungi; Glomeromycota. The record is from RNAcentral.
GGGUCAUUUGGUUGGUCGUGCCACCGGUACGUACUGGUCUCACUGAUUCCUCCUUCCUGAAGAACCGUAAUGCCAUUAAUUUGGUGUUGCGGGGAAACAGGACUGUUACUUUGAAAAAAUUAGAGUGUAUAAAGCAAGCUAACGCUUGAAUACAUCAGCAUGGAAUAAUGAAAUAGGACGAUCGAUCCUAUUUUGUUGGUUUCUAGGAUUGACGUA